GACGAACGCUGGCGGCGUGCUUAACACAUGCAAGUCGAACGGAAAGGCCCUGCUUUUGUGGGGUGCUCGAGUGGCGAACGGGUGAGUAACACGUGAGUAACCUGCCCUUGACUUUGGGAUAACUUCAGGAAACUGGGGCUAAUACCGGAUAGGAGCUCCUGCUGCAUGGUGGGGGUUGGAAAGUUUCGGCGGUUGGGGAUGGACUCGCGGCUUAUCAGCUUGUUGGUGGGGUAGUGGCUUACCAAGGCUUUGACGGGUAGCCGGCCUGCGAGGGUGACCGGCCACAUUGGGCCUGGGCUGCGGCCCAGCCUCCUACGGGAGGCAGCAGUGGGGAAUAUUGCACAAUGGGCGGAAGCCUGAUGCAGCAACGCCGCGUGCGGGAUGACGGCCUUCGGUUUGUAAACCGCUUUCGCCUGUGACGAAGCGUGAGUGACGGUAAUGGGUAAAGAAGCACCGGCUAACUACGUG
Molecule: ribosomal RNA, 468 nt
Filed under: uncultured bacterium
Lineage: Bacteria
Description: partial 16S ribosomal RNA
Rfam family: Bacterial small subunit ribosomal RNA
Source: RNAcentral